GGGGCUGCCCGGUUGGUCGGGGCGGUCCGAGACUUGACACCUCACCGCGGGGGUUCGAUCCCCCCCAGCUCCA
This 73-nucleotide transfer RNA is filed under the name bacterium. RNAcentral's name for it is "tRNA-OTHER". The record is from RNAcentral.